UACGUAGGGGGCGAGCGUUGUCCGGAUUUAUUGGGCGUAAAGAGCUCGUAGGCGGUCUGUCGCGUCUGCCGUGAAAACCCGAGGCUUAACCUCGUGGCUUGCGGUGGAUACGGGCAGACUAGAGGUAGGUAGGGAGAACGGAAUUCCCGGUGUAGCGGUGAAAUGCGCAGAUAUCGGGAGGAACACCGGUGGCGAAGGCGGUUCUCUGGGCCUUACCUGACGCUGAGGAGCGAAAGCAUGGGGAGC
Molecule: ribosomal RNA, 246 nt
Filed under: uncultured bacterium
Lineage: Bacteria
Description: partial 16S ribosomal RNA
Rfam family: Bacterial small subunit ribosomal RNA
Source: RNAcentral